This 268-nucleotide small nuclear RNA is filed under the name Aotus nancymaae (Ma's night monkey). RNAcentral describes it as "7SK RNA (ENSANAG00000004176.1)". It matches the Rfam family "7SK RNA". From Rfam's summary of the family: 7SK was discovered as an abundant small nuclear RNA in the mid-70s but a possible function has only recently been suggested. Two independent studies have found that 7SK RNA binds the CDK9/cyclin T complex (known as elongation factor P-TEFb). The record is from RNAcentral. Lineage: Eukaryota; Metazoa; Chordata; Mammalia; Primates; Aotidae.
GGAUAUGAAGGCAAUAUGGCUGCAACAUCUGCCACCCAGCAUUGCCAGGUUGAUUGGGCUGAUCUGGCUGGCUAGGCGGGUGUCCCUUCCCUCCCUCACUGCUCCACGUGUGUCCCUCUGAAGCUACACACUUGGUCAAAGAGGACAACCUUCCCCAACAGAAGAGGACCAUUCUUCAUUCACAGGUAUACACGUAGCUGCACUCCCUGCUGGAAGCUCUCAAGAUAUGGUGUUUUAUUUGUUACCAUGGCAGAGCCUAACCUUUCCU